GGACAACCUACCCUCAGCACGGGGAUAAACCCGGGAAACUGGGUAUAAUACCCGAUAGUUCUAAGCUGCUGGAAUGCAUUUAGGACGAAAGCUCCGGCGACUGAGGAUGGGUCUGCGGCCUAUCAGGUAGUAGUGGGUGUAAUGUACCUACUAGCCUACGACGGGUACGGGUCGUGAGAGCGAGAGCCCGGAGAUGGAUUCUGAGACACGAAUCCAGGCCCUACGGGGUGCAGCAGGCGCGAAAACUUUACAAUGCUGGCAACAGCGAUAAGGGGACCUCGAGUGCCAGGAUACAAUCUUGGCUGUCGUAAUGCCUAAAAAGCAUUGCAUAGCAAGGGCCGGGCAAGACCGGUGCCAGCCGCCGCGGUAACACCGGCGGCUCGAGUGGUAACCGCUAUUAUUGGGUCUAAAGGGUCUGUAGCCGGCCGGAUAAGUCUUUUGGGAAAUCCAGCUGCUCAACAGUUGGGCUUUCAGAAGAUACUGUUCGGCUCGANGCCGGGAGAGGUGAGANGUACUUCAAGGGUANGGGUGAAAUCUUGUAAUCCUUGAAGGACCACCAGUGGCGAANGCGUUUCACCAAAACNGACCUGACGGCAANGGACNAAAGCUAGGGGGCNCGAACCCGGAUUANAUNCCCCGGGUAGUCCUAACCCUAAACGAUGCUCCCUUAGGNGUCACAACAAAUCAUGAAUUGUUUGUGGNGCCNUANGGGAAACCCCCUGAAACCAANCCCUUUGGGGAAGUNCCACCCCCAAGGUUGAAACUUAA
RNAcentral lists this ribosomal RNA (768 nucleotides) under uncultured archaeon. RNAcentral describes it as "partial 16S ribosomal RNA". It matches the Rfam family "Archaeal small subunit ribosomal RNA", at positions 102 to 859 of the family's 1478-position model. The record is from RNAcentral.